Molecule: ribosomal RNA, 374 nt
Filed under: uncultured eukaryote
Lineage: Eukaryota
Description: partial 18S ribosomal RNA
Rfam family: Eukaryotic small subunit ribosomal RNA
Source: RNAcentral
CAAUAGCAUAUAUUAAUGUUGUUGCAGUUAAAAAGCUCGUAGUUGGAUCUCUGUAGGAGUGCCAAUGUCCACCCACGUGUGAGUUGCAGCGGCGCUCCUGCAUCCUUCGGUUACCUCCGCUCGGCAUUCACUUGCCGGCGGUUGGCUCCGAAUAUCUACCUUGAGAAAAUUAGAGUGUUUCAGGCAGGCUAAGCCGGAAUACAUUAGCAUGGAAUAAUAGAAUAGGACUACGGUCUCGUUGUUGGUUUGAGGGACUGGAGUAAUGAUUAAUAGGGAUAGUUGGGGGCAUUAGUAUUUAAUUGUCAGAGGUGAAAUUCUCAGAUUAACUAAAGACUAACUUAUGCGAAAGCAUUUGCCAAGGAUGUUUUCAUUAA